Molecule: ribosomal RNA, 399 nt
Filed under: uncultured bacterium
Lineage: Bacteria
Description: bacterial SSU rRNA
Rfam family: Bacterial small subunit ribosomal RNA
Source: RNAcentral
CGCUGGCGGCAUGCCUUACACAUGCAAGUCGAACGGUAACAGGUCUUCGGAUGCUGACGAGUGGCGAACGGGUGAGUAAUACAUCGGAACGUGCCCGAUCGUGGGGGAUAACGCAGCGAAAGCUGUGCUAAUACCGCAUACGAUCUACGGAUGAAAGCGGGGGAUCGCAAGACCUCGCGCGGACGGAGCGGCCGAUGGCAGAUUAGGUAGUUGGUGGGAUAAAAGCUUACCAAGCCGACGAUCUGUAGCUGGUCUGAGAGGACGACCAGCCACACUGGGACUGAGACACGGCCCAGACUCCUACGGGAGGCAGCAGUGGGGAAUUUUGGACAAUGGGCGCAAGCCUGAUCCAGCCAUGCCGCGUGCAGGAUGAAGGCCUUCGGGUUGUAAACUGCUUUU